This 86-nucleotide ribosomal RNA is filed under the name Microtus ochrogaster (prairie vole). Lineage: Eukaryota; Metazoa; Chordata; Mammalia; Rodentia; Cricetidae. The record is from RNAcentral.
GGCUAUGGCCACACAACCUGAAGGUACCCGAUCUCAUUUGAUCUCUGAAGCUAAGCAGGGUCAGGCCCGAUGGGAGACAAAAGCCA